Molecule: ribosomal RNA, 287 nt
Filed under: uncultured bacterium
Lineage: Bacteria
Description: partial 16S ribosomal RNA
Rfam family: Bacterial small subunit ribosomal RNA
Source: RNAcentral
CCAGGAUGAACGCUGCCGAUAGGCCUAACACAUGCAAGUCGAGGGGCAGCAUAGAGUAGCAAUACUUUGAUGGCGACCGGCGCACGGGUGAGUAACACGUAUGCAACCUACCUACAUCAGGGGGAUAACCCGGAGAAAUUCGGACUAAUACCGCAUAAUACAGGGAUGCCGCAUGGCAAUAUUUGUUAAGGAUUUAUCGGAUGUAGAUGGGCAUGCGUUCCAUUAGCUAGUUGGUAAGGUAACGGCUUACCAAGGCAACGAUGGAUAGGGGAACUGAGAGGUUUGUC